GAUAGGGCUCUAGGUUUGGAAUACAGGCAGUCAUGAACCUGUCCCUCAGGCAUGUUCUCUGCCUCUGACCUCUGGCUCCUUAAAGUCUGGGAACCAUGCUGUGAUUCAGGGGUGUCUGCCUUUGGGGUCUUGUUUCCUUCCCUGUAUCACACACCUUCUGUACCCUAGUUCCUACACUGACAAUAUAUGCUAGCCUCGUUACCUUCUGUGUUCACAGGAUUGCUAUGUCGGCCCUUUAGUGAGUGUCUGCAUUUCGUUCAAAUCUAUGAGCACAGCUGUGUUCUAAUCUCUCAGAGCAACAUCAUGCUGGGAGUCCAUUCCUCCCUGGGCAUGUGGUAAUGUCUUACUCAAGGGCUGUGGGAAAGGAUAGGCAUUUAAGUCAUUUAAGCUAUCUCUCCCCACCAGGCAGGACUGUUGAAUAUCUCUAACCAACUUUUAAAGCCCAUAUACCUCCCAUUCCCUCCUAUCUUAUUAGAAGGGCUCUUGUCCUUUAACAGGUUUUGGCCUAUAGGUCAAGGGUUAAGUUUAGGUUUACAUUUAAGUGCUAGAGUAACCCAUAACAAGGCUGAAUAUAACUGGUCUCCUUUUAAGUUUCUUUGUAUGUGAGUUAAUAGCCUUGGUCACUUCCUUGUAUGUGAGUUAAUAGCCUUGGUCACUUUCUAACAUCACUGCACUUCUGACUGUCCAGGAGGUCUUAGAGCCUUAAAGAAGUGACAAUUUUAAGCAAAAGCCGUGGUUGGUAAGCAGUGGAUAUUGCUGAGAGCUGUUACUCUUUUCCUCCAGGUUUGCCCAGGAGUCACAAUGGGACCUCUUUGAGCACUAUUUUUCUAAGUCGUGCCAGUUGGUGAAAAGAACCAAUGCCUCACUAUUUGGUGCUCAUGGCUUUGUCCGAUUCCUAGAGUGCCAUGUGUUAAUGUUACAGAAAAUGCCAGAGGGUAUCUUCAUGCAUAUUCCCCUAGAGCUUCGCAGCCAAACGCUCGAGGUACCUGUUUCUCAGCUGCCCUUCAACUCACACCUAACUCCCUUAGUUCUACCCUAUGAUGCUCUUUCUGCCACCGGAAUCUCUUCCUUACUUUCCCUUUUACUGGCUCUGACUCCCUUUACUCUGAAUCCUUUGUUUCUCCACAUAGAAAGUUUCCACCUACCUUAUGUAUCCUUCCAGAUAUUAUUGCAUCUAGGUCUGGACUGGGUUUCUUAACUUUCCACCUUUGCCAGCUACUACUCAGUAUCAUUAAAAUAUUAACAUUUAGCCCUGCUCAGUGAACCUAUACUCUAUGGUUCAGUCUAUAAUUUGACACAUCUACCUACAGCCCUUCUGAGUCUAGAACACAUUCCAGUUCCUCUGUAUCCCCAAGUCAGUUUUCCAGGCCCACUUUGCCAUCAGUAACUCCUCCCUGUUACCCUAGUCAUGAGUGAAUACGUUGAAUGAGGACCUUUGUAAGUUCUGAUGAAGUGGCAUGUUAGGAAAAUGAAGCACUAAUCCCAGAGCUAAUGUACCUUCUUUUCCUUUCAGUACUUUAAAGAGUUCUUCUCUCGAUGUGUGACCUGCCCUGUCUACCACCAGUGAGUAUCUGAGCUUAAGGCCUCUGCAAUGAGUUGUGAAAAGAGAGAAUUCAUGUCCCUGACUAAGAGCGUCAGGCCUUUUGAUACCUGCUUCACCAGGAUUUGGAUAAAAGGAGACUUUCUGGAGGAAGAUAACUCUUAGAAAUUUAGGAAUACAGAGUAAGCAAUUCUUCCUGGAACCCUUGUGUGAGAGACAUAGAGACUGUCUUAGAUUCUUACUCACAAGUAGUCAAAGGCUGCACCUCCGAAGUAAAAAGGGACACACAGAUAUAAGGAGUUAGUCCUUGCUCUAGAGGAUUUGACAGAGUGGAUGAUGUCAAGGAGAGAAGGAUGCAAAAGAAACUCAAGAUGUAUGUGUUAAAACAGAAAAAACAAUAAUCUGAAGGGACCAUGAUUCUUUUAUUGUAUAUAACAUAAGGAAAUGCCCCCAAAUUCUCCUUUUAAAGCUAUAGUGUACAUAUUAAGUAUCCUAGCCUUUACAGUUACUGCUAUUUAUAUCUUUAUCCAAAUAAAAGCCUAUGUUUUCUGAAACA
Long non-coding RNA from Cebus imitator (Panamanian white-faced capuchin), 2096 nucleotides. RefSeq lists it as uncharacterized. The transcript has 2 exons. The record is from RefSeq and is a predicted model, not a curated record. Lineage: Eukaryota; Metazoa; Chordata; Mammalia; Primates; Cebidae.